This is a non-coding RNA of Pelobates cultripes (western spadefoot toad), 276 nucleotides long. The record is from the annotation of a GenBank genome assembly. Lineage: Eukaryota; Metazoa; Chordata; Amphibia; Anura; Pelobatidae.
GGUAGACCCACCUGGAAUGGGGUGGGUCCACCUGUAGGAUUGACAGAUCAAACUGGUAUGAAUUUUUUUCCAGGCUGCCUCUCAAUCACCUGGCCCACGAAGGACAGACCAUGAAGGAAGAACUGUUUCUGCAGGGUCCUAAUGCCCUGAGCAUAACACAAGAGCAUCUCAUGAUGUGCUUGCGCUACCUAUGCUUGUUGGUGACAGUUUCCUGGUGUCUCCAAAACCUGGAUACUAGGUAACAAAGUCGAGACACGACCCAAAGUUGGGACUGUC